Molecule: long non-coding RNA, 11750 nt
Filed under: Equus caballus (horse)
Lineage: Eukaryota; Metazoa; Chordata; Mammalia; Perissodactyla; Equidae
Description: lncRNA (ENSECAG00000045474.1)
Source: RNAcentral
UCCACUUUAGUUAGGGUGCCCCCAGCCCGAAACGAGACUCAGCACAGGUGGCUUCCGUGGAGAGGGAACAAUUACCUCCACACUGGAGGACCUGGCAGACACUACGCUAACCAAGAGGUCAAGGUCAACAACACCAGUGAUGAGAGAAGCCGACUUUGGGUGACUCCUGAUAGGAUCCCAAACCCGCACAGCAUGGAGCUAAUCACGUGAAAACAUCAGACGAACCGAAAGCAGAGACAAUAUACAAAGCAACCGUCUACACACGUUAAAAAAAAUCAAGAUCAUGAAAAAGAAAGACAGGCUGAGGAAUCGUUCCAGGGUGGAAGGAAAAGAGAGAUGUGACGCCUGAAGGCAGUGCGAGGUCCUGGUUUGGGUGGUGGAUCAGGGGGAAAGUAACACAGAGGAUGCUGUUGGGACACAUGGCAAAGUUUGAAUAUCAUCUGAGUUUGACCACCAUACUGUGUUAAGAGAAAGCCCUUGAUCCUAGGAUCUUAGGAGAUCACACUGAAGUAAUUGCGGGUGAAGGGUAUGAGGUCUGCAGUCUGUGCAGGGAUGGCUCAGGAGGCAACUUCCCAUACAUGUACAUACGAUGUAUCACUACGUAUAACCAGAACAUAUUAUAUAUAACAUAACUUAAAAACAUUUUUUUUAGGAAGAUUAGCCCUGAGCUAAUAUCUGCCACCAAUCCUCCUCUUUUUGCUGAGGAAGACUGGCCCUGAGCUAGCAUCUGUGCCCAUCUUCUUCUACUUCAUAUUUGGGACACCUGCCACAGCAUGGCUUGCCAAGUGGUGCCAUGUCCACACCCGGGAUCCGAACCGGUGAACCCUGGGCCACCGAAGCAGAACAUGCGAACUUAACCGCUGCACCACUGGGCCAGGCCUAUAUAUAACUUAUAAUGUGUAAUAUGUAAUAUAUUAUUAUACCGUGCAUUAUUACAAAGAGUGAGGGAGAAAACAAAGGUCAUAAAAUGUUAACAACGGGUGACUCUAGGUGAAGGCUAUAAGAAUGUUAUUUUUUUAAUUCUUGUAAACUUUCUGUAGGUUUGAAAUUAUUUCAGAAUAGAACAUUUAAAGGUAACGCGUGCACACAGCAGAGGUUCCAGCUGCUCACACGGCGUGCGCAGGGAGGCCGGGGCCCCACCACCCAGGCCCCAGGCCCUUGUCCGCUCACAGAGGCAGCCUCAUCAACCCGCUCACGAGCAAUCUUGGCAUCUUUUCCAAAGUACACAUAGUUCUGUAUCCUGCCCUUUUUGUGUAACAUCAUCUCACGAGCAUUUUCCUGUGUUACAAAAAUCUCCUCAAAAAUACCACUUUUAAUGGCUCUCUAGCAGCCUGCCCAAGGUUUCUCUGGCUAUUACCCUCCGUCAGAAUGUGUGUAUUUUUCUGCCUUUUCACCGCUGUGAAUAAUGCUGCAAUGAACAACUUUAAAUGCUCAUCUCUGCUGCAGCUCUGACCAGUCUCUUCAGGAAGAUUCUGAGGAUGGAGACCCGGGGGAGUCUUCUAAAGGCAUUCUGCAGGGCCAGGACGCCCAGCAGGUCCGCACAGAUUCAGCCGUGAGGUCCGGCGCUGCCGAGGAUGUGGGCGCAGAGCCCUGGGGGUGAUGGCACGCCUGCGACGCUCUGGUGGGCAGUUCGGCAAUGACUGUCAGGUCAUGGAAUUGUCACAGUGCUUUCCCUCGACCCAGGAAUCCCACUGUAAGGACCGUUCCUGGAAGAAUGUUUGUUAAGGCAUGCAAAGGGACAGGCAUAAAGGUUUUUAUUUCAGCAUUGUGUGUGACGUUGAAAAGUUGGUAACAACUCAAAUUUCUAUCACAAGGAGAAUAAUUAAAUUAUAGCACGAUCACAACGUGGAGAAUCAGGUAGCAGCUACAAACAGCGGAGUCAGUCUACGUGGCCUUCACGGAAAGAACACGUGGUGUAAAAAAAGAUAAGUUAUAAAAUGAUGUACAUAUAUGAUGCCAUUUAUUUAUUUAUUUAUUUAAAGAUUUUAUUUUUUUCCUUUUUCUCCCCAAAGCCCCCCGUACAUAGUUGUGUAUUUUCAGUUGUGGGUCCUUCCAGUUGUGGCAUGUGGGACACUGCCUCAGCGUGGCCUGAUGAGAGGUGCCAUGUCUGUGCCCAGGAUCUGAACCGGUGAAACCCUGGCCGCCGAAGCAGAGCACGUGAACCUAAUCUCUCGGCCACGGGGCCGGCCCCAGCAUUCAUGUAUUUAAAAACACAAAACAACCUUAUAUAUUUUCUACUGGUUAACCCAGUGGUAAGUAAAUGUGUAGGAAAAGGUGUGCAAGGAUAUGUGCCAGAAUGACAGCAGUCUCGGCCACUGGUGAGGGGGGCAGAGGAAGGGCCUGCAUGAGGAUGUGCCCUGCGCAAAGCUGCCCGCCCAGGGGAGUGGAGCCCAGCCUGUGCUGCCUUCUCCGGGUCAGGCACCUUCAGGCUUGAGUCCACGCAGAGGGGAAGCCUUUUUCUCCUUCUCCCAAAGGUGCCACAUGGGCGGCUAUCUGUCUUGUGGAGGGGACCAGGACUUGGGGGUUGGCUCUGUCAGAGGGAGAUUCAGCGAUGUUUGAACGGUUUUUCACGAGGAAAAUAUUUAUGAAGUGCUUUUAUCAUCACACACACACACACACACCCCCAAAUACUUUUUAGGUGGGGGCUUUGGAGUCACACAGACCUCAGCUUGAGCUCCGGCUCCAUCACUUAGCAGCUGUGUGACUGGGAGCCGGGCGUCUGCCCUGCGACCCUCAGUCUUCUCAUCUGUUACAGGGUGUCGGGCGGGCUUCUGCACUUUUGCCUGCUUGGCUGCCAGAGAGCCCGAAUCUUCUCUGGGAAGCUGCUGCGCCCGCACUGCUGGUCUGUACUGUCUGGCGGGCCAGAAUCAGCCCUCUUCAGGUCAGAGCACGUGACAGGGGCCUAGCUGAGCAGGGGCUCAGUGACUGGUUCAAGAAAGGACGCAUGGCCACCUUUGGACCUGGAAGCCCCCAGUUUUGUGACUUUCACCGGAAGAGCAAGAGCUGCUCCCUUUCCGUGGAGUUGUGGGGACCCCACAUCAGGGGCACCACGUGGAGAUGAGUGCAUAGGAAAAGUGAGCCAGGGCCUGGAGAAAGGGGACUGCCUGGGACAUUACCCAGGGCCCACGUCUAGCGUCUGCUUUCUGGUGACCUGGUCCCUGUCCGUGUCCCCUUGGCCUUCACGGCGGUCACCUGCAGAACUUGCUCACAGGAACCGCACGUGUGAGGCAGGCCAGAAAGUUAGUGCCUCAGGGUGACCCUCCACCACCGAGGGACACGAGCUGCUGAGUGAGGGCCGCCCGGCUCCCUUGCUGUCAGGCACAUCCUGAGAUGUGUUCUGGGACUCCUGGAACUCCCCAGUGGUCACCACUCAGUAGUGCACCCUGCACGGCCCCUCUUCUUCCUCUCUCACUGCCCUACAUCCACACAGCGCUUCCUGGGACCACUCAAAUGUGCGCCCAUGAUGGGUGUCCAAACUAAGACACUGAACCACCAAAUCUCUCUCCCCACUCCUUCCCUCUCUCUCUCUCCCUUCCUCCUUCCCUCUUUGGGCUCCCUCUCUCAUUAAGCCAGUUGGAGUCAAUGUUCUCCACGUGCAACCAAAGAACCUUGAUUAACACUCUGACAGUGACGAUAACAACUAGCUUACAGCGUUUUCCUCUAAGGUGAGACGUGCGCAGUGCUCGUCCUGCGCCUGCUGCACGGCAGACGUGGCCUCCUGCUCCGCUCCAGGCCCCUGACGGAGACAGCGAGCCUUUCAAGUGGACAGCUGGGAAGGGCCUCCUUGUGUGGGUCUGCGGAUGGGUUUAGGCUGCCUGGCUAGACAUAUGCCGUAUACACGCCCCCUCACCUGCCACAGCAGCUCAAGUACCCACAGCAAAGGUCAUUCUUUUCAGUUAAAUCCUCUUCUCAAAGCCAACCCAGAUGCGAGGGAGCACCCAGCACUUCCGUUGAACUUCCCACGCUCAUCACAAUACACUUCUCGAGGCCUCGUCCUGUGCUGAGCUCCAUGAUCUGCCAAAGUGAGGAGUACCGCCCCCUCCAGGUGCUGGCAGCACUGAGUCUUAAGUUCAAGACUCACACAGAAAUGUGUGCAAAUCCUAAUUAUACAGCUCAACGAAUCUUGAAAAGCGAAUAACUUGUGUGACUACAGCCCACAUAAGAAACAGAACGUGACCACGCCCCAGAGCCCCCUUCACCCCAUCCCUGCCUUUCCCGAGGGUGAUGGUUGUCCGACUGUCCACCCACAGGUGAGUUUUGCCUGGUUUUGAACUUUGCUUCAAAAUGAAGUCGCACAGUGGAUGCUCUUUCACGUCUGACUUCUGCUGGACGUUACGCCUGGAGAGCCAUCUGUGUUGCUGUGUACUGGAAGACGGUUCACUUCCAUCGCUGGAGAGGACUUCAUCGGGGGAUGCGGCACAACGCACUUGCCCAUUUCACGGCACGUGGGCGUGUGGUUGUUUCCCGUUUUCUCCCACUGUUAGGAAUAGUGCUGCUUUGGCACUUUGGUUCUUUGUUACUAUAACGAGACUGUAGGAUCCACAGAGGGAGAAAUGAGACCAAGUGUUUCACCGUCAUUUCUCCCUAUUCUGUGCAGUACCACAAACUACCCCGGUGUCACCUGUCCCCACUCUGGCCCUAUGCCAAAAGGUGGAAUUCUCCCAUUGUCUGAAGUGGGCCUGGGUCCCAGAGCUCGUGUGGCUUCCUAGUGAUGUCAAGCGGUCACCUGCUCCUGUAGCUGAGUCUCUGUGAGCAGGACCAAGUGGCCCUGUUGAGAGAGGGGCUGGGAGGAGAGAAUCCCGUUGUCUCACUUAGGACCAGAACUGUGGACCUGUGGUGACAUCUGUGUUAGUUAGGAAUUAUAUCCAGCUGCAAGCAGCAGAGCGCUGGAAAAUCGUGGCUGAGACAGAAGGUUUGUUUUCACAGGUCACAGAAGGCAGGGGCUCCCAGGACCAGGAUGGUGGUUCUAGAGCAUCAUUAGGAACCCACAAUCCUCUGUCCUUCCCUUCUGCCAGAUUUAGAGUUUGGCUCCAUCCUCAAGGUCACAAAAUGGCCUCUACAGUGUCAGCCAUCACGUAUAUAUUCCAGGCAGGAAGAAAAAGAAAGAAGAUAAAGAGGGCACACACUAGCUUUUUUGGAGCUUUUCUGGAAGUCCAGCCCAAGAACACCUACUUCUAUAUCCUUAGCCAUCCUUAUUUACCAGGGAAGUGGGAACUGUAGUCUCAGCUGCUCACCUGGUCAUCUUGCAAGAAGAGGAGACUGGAUGUUGGGCAGGCAAUGAGCAGGCUCUCGUUCAGCAUCCAGCCCUAGUUUUCUUCUCCCUUAUUUUGUGAGGGACAAGGAACUCUCUAAUGCUAGCAAUUGCUAAAAGCAAGUAAGCUGGAUUUCUGAAACGAGAUGCUUUCAACAGGGACUCUGCUGACAUUCCUCCUUCAUGAGAGCCCUGCGGUGUGCCCUUGGGAAGGGGGUACAGGCUCCUCCUUAAGAACAGCAGGUCCUCAUCAGAGCCUAUUAAGGGCAGGGCUCUGGGAGACGAGGAAGGCCCUCUCCCAUGGCGAUGUUGGCAGGGCUCAAGCUCCAGGGGAGAGCCACACACGAGCCCAGCUGAUUCUGGAAGCAGCCCUGAGACAAGCAUUUGUGUGCCAGGGGUUUGUACAGGAGAAGCCCGGCCUCAGCCUGACGCUGCAGGAAGCUCAGGGCAUCAGCUCCACGUCAGAGGGAGCUGAGACGGGAGCUGGCCUCUCAGACUUCUGCACUUGUCGGUCCUUAGUUGAGGGCCUGGAGUGGGGGUGGAGGAAGGGGCAUUUGUAGGCACUCCCGGCUCUGCUCCAGGAGCCCCCGGGCGCCCCAUGAGGAGGGGUGCAGGGGCGAGGGCUGCAGGGAGCAAGCACGUGGUAUCUGGGGCCGGGUGCGCAGACCUGAUGGAAGGGCCCCAGGGAGAUGUGGGCUGAGCACCAACGGCAUCCACUGCAUCAUGUACCUCAUUUACAGCCACAACGCCCCUGAGAGGCCAGGUGGGGAAAUGGAGGCUCAGGGAAGGAAAGUAAGAGAACUGUUCAAGUGUCAGAGUUGGGAUUCUAACCCAGGCCUAAGUGUCACCAAAGGCCCAUGUUCCUGCCAAAGCUUACAUUCCUUCUUUGCUUAUUCAAUAAAUCGACAGGCAUUUGCUGAAUGCCUACUGUACACAAAGCCCAAGCCCCUGCCCUCCAGAUGGGGGCUGCCCGCCCCAGGGCCCCUGCCCUCCUGAUGAGGCUGCCCGCCCCAGGGGCCCCUGCCCUCCACAUAGGGGCUGCCCGCCCCAGGGGCCCCUGCCCUCCAGAUGAGGCUGCCCACCCCCGCUGCUCCUGGGCAUCAUCCUCUCCCAGGCUGAGUGUCAGACUCAUCUGUUCAUUUUCCUCUGUGCUGGCACCAGGAAGCAGACAAUCUCAGACGCAAUCAGGGCAUGUGGUGUGUCAACUUGGGGCCUCCUGAGGACUGGGCUCACGGGAAGGUGGGUGACGAGGCCCUCUGAAGGAGGUCAGCAGAUGAGCUGGAGCAUUAACCCGGCCGGGACAAGCUUGUCCUUGGAGUGACGGAGGUGACUCAACUGCAAUAGCCUGCAGUUCCAGAAGGUGCCACUGGGAGAGGACUUGGAGAGCUUGUGGGUCCUGUCCCAGUGGAGGUGGGGACUCAGGGGGCAGUCGGCCUGUGCACAGGCACACAAAGCUUGGAGCCCUCACAAACCCCAGCUUUACUGGGGUUUUACCACUCGCUGGCUGUGUGACCUUGGGUAGGUUAAUGAACCUCUCUGGGCCUCUGUUUCCUUGCCUAUAAAACGAGAGGAGGCAUCAUAGAGGGGCUGGGAGGACUCAGUGAAUUAUCCAAGUUGGGGCGGCACCAGUAAGCAGUCCACGGGCUUGACGAUGAUGAUGGUGACGAUGAUGACCAUCACUCCCACGGCUGAUGGAACUGUCUGGAAGGAGGGCUCCUCCUCCCUGGCCUUGGGUAAGGCUCACAGCGCCCCCAUCAAACCUCCGGGCUCUGGGCCCGGUCCCUCAGAGCUGAGCUCUCCUGCCUCAGGCGUCCGCACAGGGUGCUGGCUUUGGCCUUGCUGCGCAUUCAUGAGGGUCAGACUGUCAGGUAAGGCUUCUCCAGGGCCUGCGCGGCUGGACAUCGUGCUGAGGAAGCACCUCCCAUGCAUUUUCCCACGUCAUCCCCAACCCACCCCUUUGCUCAGUCGAUCCCCAGCCUGGUGGCCCAGGGGGCUUUCGGGCACUGCUGGCUGCACAGCCUGUGCACCCCAUGCUGCGUGUUGGGGGCACGGGGCAGGGCACACACAGUGAGGGCUGAGAAAGGUGGCUGAGCGAGGGGCCCUCGUGUGAGCAGCUUGGGAGCCGUGUCUGUUCUGCAGGACCUGCCUCCUCGGUGCCGAGUGACAGGGGCUCAGGGAGUCUGCUUCCAGGCGUUCUAGGCGACAUCCAGGCACAGAGGACACCAACAGCAGCCCAGCGCCCGCAUGGGUGGGACAGUCACAGCACAGGCAGAGUGCGCUCUCCAGCAGCCCUGACUCUCUCCACGCUGGGGUGGGCUGGGUGGGUGGGGCCCUGGAGGUCUCUUCGUCUUCUGGCUCCUCCUGCUGAAUGCUGCUGGGCCUGUGCCCUGGGGAUCCUCUAGCUGCCACCUGCCACAGAGCGGUGCUAAAAAGGUUUCAGAGGGACUCGGGGCGGGGCGCUGCCAAGGAUGGAUCAAUGCUGCAGUCACUGCCGGCAACACCGCUCAGGGGCAGAGGGCAAUAGGGAGCCAGAGGAAGUGCUCCUGGAGAACGUGGCUGCUUUGAUCCACCCCCAGGAGAGCACUGGACAGGGAGUCCUGCGGGCGUGGGCCCCCCGUCAGAUGGGCCCAUCUCUGCCCCUCGUGCUGUGUUGCGGUGUGCUUAAGGCCCAGCCACUCUGUCCUUGCCUUCCUCCUCUGUGAAAGGGGACAGAACAGGACACCCUCAUGGAUCCGGGACCCCCACAUGCUUGACAAUGCGUCAGGCAGCUCAGAACCCUCUACCUUCACUGAAGUCAGGUAGGCUCCUGACAAGUGAGGACGCAGAUGCACCGAGAGGCAGAGCUACUCCUGAGGCCACACAGCUCCUAAGUGGCUGUAGUGGUCACGGUCGCUGCCCUGCCACACCUCUCUCCAGGAUCCAUCUUUUCAUGCCAAAGGCCGGGGACACCUGUGACUGCACCUCAGGGCUCUUUACAGCUGCAGGAGCAGGUGGGCUAAAACAGCCGGGGGUCUGGGGAGUGAGUGUCCCGGAAGCAGUUCUCAGCCCACAAGGUGUGGACGAGUCCCCCUGCUCUGCUCCUCCCUUGAGCAGACUCUGGGACCUGCUCCACGCUGUCUCCCAGGGCUCACACACCCUUUACUGGCUCCUUCCCUCCUCGGCCCCACAGGCCGCUCCCCUGACAGUACCUCCCAGAUCAAGUACUUGCCCUGGAACCGUUGUUGCAGGGUCUGACCCUGAGACCCCACUCCCCAAGUCAGGAGUGGGACCCAGACAGCCGGGCUCCAGAACCAGGUUCUUAAGCACAACUCUCUGAUGCCGCCCUUUGAGAGGAGGUGACGUGUAGUCCUCCCUCCACGCCGGGCACCCAAGGACAGCGCAACGAGAGGCAACCGCUGGUGCAGUUUGUGCUGCUCUUGCCAUCUGAGGUGGGAAGCCACACUUUUGCAGGCCCCUUCCCGCUCCCACCUUCCAAGACUCUGCAUCCGGUCGCAGAGGGCCUGGCAAGCAUCGUGACCUCAGUGAGGACAAAAUGUUUCAAAAGGAUGGAGACACAAGACUCCUGGGCCUCUGAGAUCCUCCAAGAGGACUUCCUACUGCCCCUCGACACUCUCUGCCUGUCUCACAGUAUCCCUCACAAAUGGUCUUUUAGUCUCUGCUUGUCUACCUCCAGGGACAGGGCGCUCACCACCUCUCGAGGUCACAGCUCUAAUCAUUUGAAAGCUUGUCUCUAUACUGAGCCAACAUCUACCUCUGCACUGGCCUGGCUUUGCCAUCUAGGAGGUAGUGAAAAUCCUGUUCACAUGGGAGAGCUGAGGCCCAGGCUAUGUGACCCCUGAGCUGUCACUGUCCAUCCCUCAGCUUUUCUUAGACUGCUGAGCUGCAGACAGACCAGGCACACAGUUCAUCACUUCUUCCUCCUACUGCCCCUCGACACAUAUACGUUCUCUGCCUCUAAACGCACUAGGCAGCUUUGAAAGCAUUCACGUGUCACGUGAAUACAGUUACAUAAAUAUUACGGGUGCAUGAUUUUAGGGAUCACAAGUGCUGAGGUUCCAAGGUGAAAAGAGUCUGCUUUUUUUGGAAAAGAUAUUUGAACAUGGGACAUUUUCAGGAAAAAGAGUGACAGGCGUAGGUGGUUCUGUCUUGGAAACCCGCCUUUCCUGGCUUCUCGGCUCAGCGGAGCCGCCGGGCUCCAUCAGUCGCAGAUGUGGUUGUUCUCUCGCAGCUCUAGGUUUAGGACUCACUUUGUAAGCAUGAGGCCCACAAGGUGGGUGCCGGAGAGCGGGCUUGUCAUGUGACCUUAGAGGGUCCUUACAGGGGGACCUUAGAGACAAGCACGGGAAGACAGAGAGACCUCCAUGUGGAGCUCAUGGCCUAGCAGGGGAGCAGACCGCUAGCACCAACUGUCACUGUGGUGGCCGGAGCCCUGAAGGAGGGCUGCACAGAAGGCCGACACUGCAUGGGGGGCAUUCGUUCUAGUCUGGGAAAGAGGCUUCCCAGAGAAAAGAACUUGCUUAAUUUUACUUUUUUAUUGUACAAAGUAGGCCCAUUUUAAGUACACAACUGGGUGAACUUCUACUGAUGUGUAUACAGGGGCGAUCCCCACCCUGACCAAGACGUAGAACCUUCGCAGCCCCUGAAGGCUCCCUGGGCCCCUCUUAGCCAACACCUCCCUCUAAAGGAACCACUCUGCUCAGCCCUUUUGCCAUCGAUUAAUUUUGCCUUUUUUUGACCUUCAUACGAUGGAAUCACACAGAACGUGCUCUUUUGUGCCUGGCCUCUCCCCUCAACAAUUACAUCUGUGAGGUUUGUGUAUGUUGUUGCACGUGAGGAGGAGAAGCCAUUCUUUUUCAUUGCUGUACAAUCUUCCAUUACAUGAAUACACAAGUUGAUAUGCUCAGUUGAUGGCUAUUUGUGGUGUUCUAAUUUUCAUCUACUAUGAACAAAGCUGCUAUGAGAAUGUGACAUUUUUAGCUGAGUAGAAGUUAACUUGAUACAAGGAGGCAGAGGGAGUAGGGAGGAACCAUCGAGAAGGAGGGAAUGACACCUGCAAAGGCCUUUGGCAGGAGGGAGCCUGCAGGCAGGUAUGGCUGAAGGGGUGCCACUUCCUGGCACCACAUUUCUUGGGGAUAUCAAGGGUACUGGGUCCUGAGCCCCUGCUGAACAGGCAUGGUGCGUGGCCCUCGGCAUCCAUUCCCACCUCAUCACAUGCAGAGGCUGGAAAGCCAAAAGACUACACUGGGCAGGCUCCCGUGCAGCUGGCUCUGGGUGUGGGGGAGGGGCCAUCAGGAAACACGCUGAGGGAGGUGAAGGCGGGGCAUCUCCGUGCUGCUUUGGGCUGUGUUCCACUGUCCAACAGGGCCACUGGGAUGUGGGGUUUUCUGCCGCGGCAUCCCAAUGUCUGAUCUUGGGCUGCUGCGCUGUGGGAUAGGCCCUGAUCCCAGCUCCCGGCAGCAGGGGGAGCUGUGCCCCAACCAGCCGGCUGUGUGGAGCGGGCAGUGCCCUCCCGCCCUGCAGGCCGGCUCUUCAGAGCUCCGGGAGGCAGCCCAGGAGGCCCAGCCGAGGGUCCCUCUGUGACUUUGUAAAUACCUGUUGCUGUAUCAAAUCCGGUGUGCUUCAAACACCUGGAGGCACCGCCCCCACCGCGGAGACGGCUGCUGUCAAUACAGAGACUCACACACGGUGGGAAGGACGUGCAGAAACUGGAACCCUUGCACAUUGCGGGUGAGAAUGUAAAAUGGAGCAUCCGCUGUGGAAAGCUGUUGGCAGUGCCUCAAAAAUUAAAAAUAGAAUACCCUAUGAUCCAGCAAUUCCACUUCUGGGUAUAAAUUUAAAAGAACUGAAGAGACUUUUGUCCACCCACGUUCACAGCAGCAUUAUUCACAGUAGGCAAGAGGUGGAAGCAACUCAAACACGACAGGGACACGGAUAAACAAAAUGUGGCAUAUGCAUGUCAUAAAAAGUUAUUCCUCCUUAAAAAGGAAGGGAACGCUGACACAUGCUCCAACAUGGAUGAACCUUGAGGAUGUCAUGCUGAGUGAAACAGCCAGACACAAAAGGACAAACUCUGCAUGGUUCCACUCAUAUGAGGUAUCUGACACAGAGUCAUCAAAUUCAUGGAGAUGGAAAGUGGAAGGGUGGCUGCCAGGGGCCAAGAGCAGGGGCAUGGGGAACUAGUGUUCAAUGGGGACAGGGUUUCAGUUUUGCAAGACGAAAAGAGUUCUUUUCAUGAAAAUAGUAAAUUUUAUUUUAUACAUAUUUUACCACAAUCAACAAACCCAAAAAACAAAACCCCAAAAUACCUGGAGAGGGGCCAGCCCUGUGGUGCAGUGGUAAGCUCGCGUGCUCUGCUUCGGUGGUCUGGGGUUCACAGGUUCAGAUCCUGGGUGCAGACCUGUGCACUGCUUGUCAAGCCAUGCUGUGGUGGCACCCCACAUAAAAUAGGAGAAGACUGGCACAGAUGUGAGCUCAGCAACAAUCUUCCUCAAGCAAAAAG